AUUGAACGCUGGCGGCAGGCUUAACACAUGCAAGUCGAACGGUAACAUAAGAAAAGCUUGCUUUUUUUGAUGACGAGUGGCGGACGGGUGAGUAAUGCUUGGGAAUCUGCCUUAUGGAGGGGGAUAACUAUGGGAAACUGUAGCUAAUACCGCAUAAUAUCUACGGAUUAAAGUGUGGGAUCUUCGGACCACAUACCAUAAGAUGAGCCCAAGUGAGAUUAGGUAGUUGGUGAGGUAAAGGCUCACCAAGCUGACGAUCUCUAGCUGGUUUGAGAGGAUGACCAGCCACACUGGGACUGAGACACGGCCCAGACUCCUACGGGAGGCAGCAGUGGGGAAUAUUGCACAAUGGGCGCAAGCCUGAUGCAGCCAUGCCGCGUGAAUGAAGAAGGCUUUCGGGUUGUAAAGUUCUUUCAUUAGUGAGAAAGGUAUAAAUGUUAAUAGCAUUUGUAAUUGAUGUUAGCUAAAGAAGAAGCACCGGCUAACUCCGUGCCAGCAGCCGCGGUAAUACGGAGGGUGCGAGCGUUAAUCGGAAUAACUGGGCGUAAAGGGCAUGCAGGCGGUUACUUAAGUCAGAUGUGAAAGCCCCGAGCUUAACUUGGGAAUUGCAUUUGAAACUGGGUGACUAGAGUCCUCUAGGGAGGGGUAGAAUUCCACGUGUAGCGGUGAAAUGCGUAGAGAUGUGGAGGAAUACCGAAGCGAAGGCAGCCCCUUGGAGAGAGACUGACGCUCAUAUGCGAAAGCGUGGGUAGCAAACAG
This 759-nucleotide ribosomal RNA is filed under the name uncultured bacterium. RNAcentral describes it as "bacterial SSU rRNA". It matches the Rfam family "Bacterial small subunit ribosomal RNA", at positions 28 to 775 of the family's 1533-position model. The record is from RNAcentral.